RNAcentral lists this long non-coding RNA (280 nucleotides) under dengue virus type 1. RNAcentral describes it as "Dengue virus 1 partial sfRNA1". The stretch from base 149 to 220 matches the Rfam family "Flavivirus DB element". The record is from RNAcentral. Lineage: Riboviria; Orthornavirae; Kitrinoviricota; Flasuviricetes; Amarillovirales; Flaviviridae.
AAGAAGUCAGGCCAGAUUAAGCCAUAGUACGGUAAGAGCUAUGCUGCCUGUGAGCCCCGUCCAAGGACGCAAAAUGAAGUCAGGCCGAAAGCCACGGCUUGAGCAAACCGUGCUGCCUGUAGCUCCAUCGUGGGGAUGUAAAAACCUGGGAGGCUGCAACCCAUGGAAGCUGUACGCAUGGGGUAGCAGACUAGUGGUUAGAGGAGACCCCUCCCGAAACAUAACGCAGCAGCGGGGCCCAACACCAGGGGAAGCUGUACCCUGGUGGUAAGGACUAGAG